GACGAACGCUGGCGGCGUGCUUAACACAUGCAAGUCGAACGGAAAGGCCCUGCCUUUGUGGGGUGCUCGAGUGGCGAACGGGUGAGUAACACGUGAGUAACCUGCCCUUGACUUUGGGAUAACUUUAGGAAACUGGGGCUAAUACCGGAUAGGAGCUCCUGCUGCAUGGUGGGGUUUGGAAAGUUUCGGCGGUUGGGGAUGGACUCGCGGCUUAUCAGCUUGUUGGUGGGGUAGUGGCUUACCAAGGCUUUGACGGGUAGCCGGCCUGAGAGGGUGACCGGCCACAUUGGGACUGAGAUACGGCCCAGACUCCUACGGGAGGCAGCAGUGGGGAAUAUUGCACAAUGGGCGGAAGCCUGAUGCAGCGACGCCGCGUGCGGGAUGACGGCCUUCGGGUUGUAAACCGCUUUCGCCUGUGACGAAGCGUGAGUGACGGUAAUGGGUAAAGAAGCACCGGCUAACUACGUG
This 468-nucleotide ribosomal RNA is filed under the name uncultured bacterium. Its description in RNAcentral is "partial 16S ribosomal RNA". It matches the Rfam family "Bacterial small subunit ribosomal RNA", at positions 28 to 507 of the family's 1533-position model. The record is from RNAcentral.